This 324-nucleotide ribosomal RNA is filed under the name uncultured eukaryote. RNAcentral describes it as "partial 18S ribosomal RNA". It matches the Rfam family "Eukaryotic small subunit ribosomal RNA", at positions 1470 to 1796 of the family's 1831-position model. The record is from RNAcentral.
CCCUUAGAUGUCCUGGGCCGCACGCGCGCUACAAUGACUCACUCAGAAAGUUUUUCCUGAUCCGGAAGGAUUCGGGUAAUCUUCAUAGCAUGAGUCGUGUUAGGGAUCGAUCUUUGCAAUUAUAGAUCUUGAACGAGGAAUGCCUAGUAAGUGCAGCUCAUCAGGCUGUACUGAUUACGUCCCUGCCCUUUGUACACACCGCCCGUCGCUCCUACCGAUCGAAGAGUUAGGUGAAUUGUUUUGAUCGAUAAGAUUUGACUAUGGUCAACUCUCGUUGUGAAAUUCUGUGAAUCUGACUGUUUAGAGGAAGGAAAAGUCGUAACA